This 303-nucleotide ribosomal RNA is filed under the name uncultured bacterium. Its description in RNAcentral is "partial 16S ribosomal RNA". It matches the Rfam family "Bacterial small subunit ribosomal RNA", at positions 507 to 807 of the family's 1533-position model. The record is from RNAcentral.
AGCAGUCGCCGCGGUAAUACGUAGGUGGCAAGCGUUGUCCGGAAUUAUUGGGCGUAAAGGGCUCGCAGGCGGUUUCUUAAGUCUGAUGUGAAAGCCCCCGGCUCAACCGGGGAGGGUCAUUGGAAACUGGGAAACUUGAGUGCAGAAGAGGAGAGUGGAAUUCCACGUGUAGCGGUGAAAUGCGUAGAGAUGUGGAGGAACACCAGUGGCGAAGGCGACUCUCUGGUCUGUAACUGACGCUGAGGAGCGAAAGCGUGGGGAGCGAACAGGAUUAGAUACCCCGGUAGUCCCUGUCUCUUAUAC